RNAcentral lists this non-coding RNA (75 nucleotides) under Gemmatimonadota bacterium. Lineage: Bacteria; Pseudomonadati; Gemmatimonadota. The record is from RNAcentral.
AAGGGAUUCCGUGGUGAUUUGCGGCGUAUUGCGGCCACGUAAAACAACCCGCUAAAAAGCCGGAGCCGAUCCUGC